CUCACCAUGGCAACAGCACAACAAAAGACGGCCGGAAAUGGAUAUGACCUCAAGCAAAUAGCGACUACGAGUCUAUAUUCGGUAGAAAAAGCAACUUCGCGUAAGUUUACAUUUUAAUCAUACAGUGUUCAGCGUAACUAAAUCCUAAAUAAUUUUAGUAUUGUUGUUAUAUUUCACUCGUAAAGUAAGGACUUGUAAAGUAAUUUUUCACUCAUCUAAGGCGUUACUUCAGUAAUUGCAUAAAAUACCGAUGUUUGUAUGAAUUAAAAGUGCAGUGUUAUGUCUAUGCGUUUUUAAAAUUCCUGUUGUGGUUGAUGUGGGAUUUGUAAAGUAAUGAUAAUUCAAUAAUCCAAUACGUUUUAUGGAGAGCAAUUAUUACAUUAAUCUAAUUAGGUUUUUAAAAGUUACCCAAAACACGUAAUAAUAUUACGUUUAAUUUCAAUUUUUAUGUAGGCGCAAUCCUGCAGGCAUAAAAGAACGUGGCUAAAAAUUAAAUGUAAAAACAUACUUCAAACAGGUAUAAGGCACCAUCAUGUCAUGGGUGUAGACCACCUGACUUUACAACAUUUGACAUAUUAAAUAACUAAAUAGCAUGCAGAGUAUAGCAGUGCAGCAGCAUUUUCAACAUGGCUGUAAUGUUUUCACACAGUUAAAUCAUUUGACUUCUACUCAGCCAACAGAAAGAAGGCAGAGGCUAGAACAACUGGUGGAGGACCUGCACCUCCACCUCUGACGCAUGCAGAGGAGAAGGCCCUCAGCAUGAACACUAGAAAGCAGAGGCUGAAGGAAUUCCUGGAGGGAGUUCAUCAGAACCAGUCACUCCCCAGGAUACAAGUGCAUGUGUAAAAUAUUCUGAUGGUAAUAUGUGAAUCCUCCUGUCACAACAGAAACCCAGGAUGUUAGUGUGGAAGAACAGCAGGAGGAGGGUCUGUCACAUUCUGCUGCACAGAUGCACACAGUUCAGUGAUGUUCAGUAAAUGCCAGAGUUCAAUUCUGUUAGAGUAAUGAGGAACUAUGUCAUGUAACUCUAAAUCCUCUGUAUUUUAAGUUACCGGUUAUUGAGUUGUAUAAACUAAAUCUCAAGGAAAUGUUAUACUUUAGAAAAGACAGAUCUAGAAAAUUGAAAUUCCCAAACACAAGCUGGAGAUGAGUGUAUAGUUAAAGGUGAAUUGUAUGAAUUAUUGGAAGAAUCAUAAAAUCUAACAAUUGCCUUUGUAUU
Long non-coding RNA from Betta splendens (Siamese fighting fish), 1219 nucleotides. RefSeq lists it as uncharacterized. The transcript is spliced from 3 exons. The record is from RefSeq and is a predicted model, not a curated record. Lineage: Eukaryota; Metazoa; Chordata; Actinopteri; Anabantiformes; Osphronemidae.